This 482-nucleotide ribosomal RNA is filed under the name uncultured bacterium. RNAcentral describes it as "partial 16S ribosomal RNA". It matches the Rfam family "Bacterial small subunit ribosomal RNA", at positions 28 to 523 of the family's 1533-position model. The record is from RNAcentral.
GACGAACGCUGGAGGCGUGCUUAACACAUGCAAGUCGAACGAUGAAAUGGAGCUUGCUCCAUGGAUUAGUGGCGAACGGGUGAGUAACACGUGAAUAACCUGCCCUUAAUUUUGGAAUAACCCAGGGAAACCUGGGCUAAUACCGGAUAAGUAAACCUGUGGCAUCACAUGGUUUUGGAAAGUUUUUCGAUUAAGGAUGGAUUCGCGGCCUAUCAGCUUGUUGGUGAGGUAAUGGCUCACCAAGGCGACGACGGGUAGCCGGCCUGAGAGGGUGAAGAGCCACACUGGGACUGAGACACGGCACAGACUCCUACGGGAGGCAGCAGUGGGGAAUAUUGCGCAAUGGACGAAAGUCUGACGCAGCGACGCCUCGUGAGGGACGAAGGUCUUCGGAUUGUAAACCUCUUUCAGCAGGGACGAAGCGAAAGUGACGGUACCUGCAGAAGAAGCACCGGCUAACUAUGUGCCAGCCGCCGCGGUAA